UACGUAGGUUGCAAGCGUUAAUCGGAAUUACUGGGCGUAAAGCGUGCGCAGGCGGUUGUGCAAGACAGGUGUGAAAUCCUCGGGCUUAACCUGGGAACUGCACUUGUGACUGCACAGCUAGAGUACGGCAGAGGGGGAUGGAAUUCCGCGUGUAGCAGUGAAAUGCGUAGAUAUGCGGAGGAACACCGAUGGCGAAGGCAAUCCCCUGGGCCUGUACUGACGCUCAUGCACGAAAGCGUGGGGAGCAAACAGG
This 253-nucleotide ribosomal RNA is filed under the name uncultured bacterium. Its description in RNAcentral is "partial 16S ribosomal RNA". It matches the Rfam family "Bacterial small subunit ribosomal RNA", at positions 524 to 776 of the family's 1533-position model. The record is from RNAcentral.